ACGGGUGAGUAAUAUAUCGGAACGUGCCCAGUCGUGGGGGAUAACGUAGAGAAAUUUACGCUAAUACCGCAUACGAUCUAAGGAUGAAGGCGGGGGAUCGCAAGACCUCGCGCGAUUGGAGCGGCUGAUAUCAGAUUAGGUUGUUGGUGAGGUAAAAGCUCACCAAGCCGACGAUCUGUAGCUGGUUUGAGAGAACGACCAGCCACACUGGGACUGAGACACGGCCCAGACUCCUACGGGAGGCAGCAGUGGGGAAUUUUGGACAAUGGGCGAAAGCCUGAUCCAGCAAUGCCGCGUGCAGGAAGAAGGCCUUCGGGUUGUAAACUGCUUUUGUACGGAACGAAACGGCUCUUUCUAAUAAAGAGGGCUAAUGACGGUACCGUAAGAAUAAGCACCGGCUAACUACGUGCCAGCAGCCGCGGUAAUACGUAGGGUGCGAGCGUUAAUCGGAAUUACUGGGCGUAAAGCGUGCGCAGGCGGUUAUAUAAGACAGUUGUGAAAUCCCCGGGCUCAACCUGGGAAUUGCAUCUGUGACUGUAUAGCUAGAGUACGGUAGAGGGGGAUGGAAUUCCGCGUGUAGCAGUGAAAUGC
This 591-nucleotide ribosomal RNA is filed under the name uncultured bacterium. Its description in RNAcentral is "bacterial SSU rRNA". It matches the Rfam family "Bacterial small subunit ribosomal RNA", at positions 102 to 689 of the family's 1533-position model. The record is from RNAcentral.